CCUACGGGGGGCUGCAGUUAGGAAUUUUGCGCAAUGGGGGAAACCCUGACGCAGCAAUGCCGCGUGAGUGAUGAAGGCCUUCGGGUUGUAAAGCUCUUUUAGUCAGGAAAAAACAAAUGAUGGUACUGACAGAAACAGCACCGGCUAACUCUGUGCCAGCAGCCGCGGUAAUACAGAGGGUGCAAGCGUUAUUCGGAAUUAUUGGGCGUAAAGCGCAUGUAGGUGGUUUGGUAAGUCUGAUGUGAAAUCCCCGGACUCAAUUCGGGAAGUGCAUUGGAUACUGCUAGACUGGAGUAUGGGAGAGGUGAGCGGAAUUCCAGGUGUAGAGGUGAAAUUCGUAGAUAUCUGGAGGAACAACAGAGGCGAAGGCGGCUCACUGGACCAUUACUGACACUGAGAUGCGAAAGCGUGGGGAGCAAACAGGAUUAGAUACCCCUGUAGUC
Molecule: ribosomal RNA, 443 nt
Filed under: uncultured bacterium
Lineage: Bacteria
Description: partial 16S ribosomal RNA
Rfam family: Bacterial small subunit ribosomal RNA
Source: RNAcentral